Molecule: long non-coding RNA, 573 nt
Organism: Cyprinodon variegatus (sheepshead minnow)
Lineage: Eukaryota; Metazoa; Chordata; Actinopteri; Cyprinodontiformes; Cyprinodontidae
Exons: 3
Source: RefSeq, a predicted model, not a curated record
UAUGGAGGAGCAGUGGUGCUAAAUAUGGACUCAAAUUAAAGGAAGCUCUCAGGAACUUAAAAAAGGAAGUGAAAGAGGGAGAAGGAGAUAGAUGUCGUGGUGAAAGGAAACUUCUCCAAGUGGCUAAAAGAUGGCAGAGCUUAUGUUGGUUUCCUGCCGGAGCUGCCAGGUGCUGUGUUUACGGAGACCACUGCCUGGCAACGCAGUCCAAACAGCCAGAGGAAGAGGGAGCUGUGGCGAGCACACUGGUGAUCCAGGUCCAGAGUCCAUUCACAGCUGACAUGUUUGCACAGUGUUAGGUGCUGCGUCAUGCCGCAGAGGGAUGUCAACAAAAGAUUACGGAGAACAGCAAUGACCACAGACUGACAGAAAACAUCUUCAGCUUAUGUUUGAAAAGGUAAAACAGGCAGAGCCUGGCCUUUUAGAUUUAGUAGUCCUGGUCUUGAAUAUUUCCAGACAUAAAAUCCUUGAAUUCUAUUGCGAUUUUAUGUGACUAACACAAAGUUGUGUAUAGUUGUGAACAUCAAAAACUAUCUGUGGUUGCAUAGGCCAUAAAGCUUUAUUUGAGUAUGU